This 465-nucleotide ribosomal RNA is filed under the name uncultured bacterium. RNAcentral describes it as "partial 16S ribosomal RNA". It matches the Rfam family "Bacterial small subunit ribosomal RNA", at positions 28 to 507 of the family's 1533-position model. The record is from RNAcentral.
GACGAACGCUGGCGGCGUGCUUAACACAUGCAAGUCGAACGGUAAACCUCUUCGUUGCUGGGCAAUUCCGGACGCGUACGUGACACUAAGACAACGUGGCCCCGCCUCGCAGAUAGGUCCAAGCCAUGGGAACUGGUUCCAGUAUUGCACCGCUUCGCGCAUUGGUGUUUGUGGUGGAAAGUUUCUGGGUGGGGGGUGCGCCCGCGGCCUAUCAGCUUGUUGGUGGGGUAAUGGCACACCAAGGCGGCGACGGGUAGCCGGCCUGAGGGGGUGAACGGCCACACUGGGACUGAGACACGGCCCAGACUCCUACGGGAGGCAGCAGUGGGGAAUAUUGCACAAUGGGCGCAAGCCUGAUGCAGCGACGCCGCGUGGGGGAUGACGGCCUUCGGGUUGUAAACCCCUUUCAGCAGGGACGAAGCGUUUGUGACGGUACCUGCAUAAGAAGCACCGGCUAACUACGUG